This 501-nucleotide ribosomal RNA is filed under the name uncultured bacterium. Its description in RNAcentral is "partial 16S ribosomal RNA". It matches the Rfam family "Bacterial small subunit ribosomal RNA", at positions 30 to 523 of the family's 1533-position model. The record is from RNAcentral.
AUUGAACGCUGGCGGCAGGCUUAACACAUGCAAGUCGAGCGGGGGAAGGUAGCUUGCUACCGGACCUGGCGGCGGACGGGUGAGUAAUGCUUAGGAAUCUGCCUAUUAGUGGGGGACAACAUCUCGAAAGGGAUGCUAAUACCGCAUACGUCCUACGGGAGAAAGCAGGGGAUCUUCGGACCUUGCGCUAAUAGAUGAGCCUAAGUCGGAUUAGCUAGUUGGUGGGGUAAAGGCCUACCAAGGCGCCGAUCUGUAGCGGGUCUGAGAGGAUGAUCCGCCACACUGGGACUGAGACACGGCCCAGACUCCUACGGGAGGCAGCAGUGGGGAAUAUUGGACAAUGGGGGGAACCCUGAUCCAGCCAUGCCGCGUGUGUGAAGAAGGCCUUAUGGCUGUAAAGCACUUUAAGCGAGGAGGAGGCUACUUUAGUUAAUACCUAGAGAUAGUGGACGUUACUCGCAGAAUAAGCACCGGCUAACUCUGUGCCAGCCGCCGCAGUAA